RNAcentral lists this long non-coding RNA (978 nucleotides) under Homo sapiens (human). Its description in RNAcentral is "HSALNT0214382". The record is from RNAcentral. Lineage: Eukaryota; Metazoa; Chordata; Mammalia; Primates; Hominidae.
AUUCUCACAUUGAAUGAUAAUAUGGAGACCUCUCUAGCUCAUCCCUUUAUGGCUAUGUACCUGGAUUGCUUUUUGAACAUCGAAUUGUAACAUUAUUUGAGGAGUCACAAUCUAUUUUUUAAAUAAAAAUGCACCGGUGCAUCAUAAAGAGCUUCAGAAAAUUAUAGGCAAAAGAAAAGUAAAUUACAGGCCAUUAUAUUUCUAAAAUAUGCAAAUGCUAGUAAAUUAGAACAUGAUUGUAUUACUGUUCUUUGCAGGGAACAGAUUUAACAAUUCAAAUACAAGAUGUAAUUUUUUAAGUGCUGAGAUCUAACAAUAAAUUAGAAAUUAAAAUUAUACAUAUGUUGAGUUACAGCUUGAAUUUCAUAGAUAAUAAUUUCAUAAUAGUAGACAAAAAUGCAAACUGCAUAUAGCUUAAAUGUUCUCUUUCUAUUUAUAUGAAAGUUGGCCACUCUUUUCUUACAUGGGUAAGAUAAGUAUACAAAGACAUAUUUUUAAUGCUAUAUCCACAUUCCUGCAAGAAUUAGACAACUUAACCUAUGUUCUUUUACAUAUGGGUGGAACAAUUUUCACCAGCUUUUAAAAGUUUGGAAAGACACAUGGAAUUUAAGCCAAAUGAAAUGACCUGAUGAUUGCCGAGCUUUCCAGAGAGAAGAGAAAUGAAUAGUGCAAAUGAGAUUUCAGCAUUUUCCCCAUUCAUUUCCAGUUCCUGGGAGGGACUUCUUGUUUCUUGGUUGACAAAAUAUUAUCCUGGGUUCCUCCGCUCUUCUGGAGUGGCGGCUAGUGGUGAACUAUUAAUAAGAGGUCCCGUACAGAACACGAUCGUCACCUAGUGGCCACAAACAAAACUCCUGCAUGGCUUUUCCUGGCCAGCCACAAGUGAUGCAGUAAGAACAGCAUCUUUGGAAGAGAAAAGAGACAUUUGCUAUCUGAUCAUUUUGGGGGGAGUGGAAAGAACAGGCAAGAAAAGGAAAGCAA